This 253-nucleotide ribosomal RNA is filed under the name uncultured bacterium. RNAcentral describes it as "partial 16S ribosomal RNA". It matches the Rfam family "Bacterial small subunit ribosomal RNA", at positions 524 to 776 of the family's 1533-position model. The record is from RNAcentral.
UACGUAGGGUGCGAGCGUUGUCCGGAUUUAUUGGGCGUAAAGAGCUCGUAGGCGGCUUGUCGCGUCGGAUGUGAAAGCCCGGGGCUUAACUCCGGGUCUGCAUUCGAUACGGGCAGGCUAGAGUGUGGUAGGGGAGAUCGGAAUUCCUGGUGUAGCGGUGAAAUGCGCAGAUAUCAGGAGGAACACCGGUGGCGAAGGCGGAUCUCUGGGCCAUUACUGACGCUGAGGCGCGAAAGCCAGGGGAGCAAACGGG